GGGCAAGUAGCGUAACGGACGCUCACCAGAUUUUGAUUCUGAAUAUUUCGGUGGUUCGAAACCACCCUUGUCCA
Ceratobasidium sp. 395 is the source of this 74-nucleotide non-coding RNA. Lineage: Eukaryota; Fungi; Basidiomycota; Agaricomycetes; Cantharellales; Ceratobasidiaceae. The record is from the annotation of a GenBank genome assembly.